This 91-nucleotide non-coding RNA is filed under the name uncultured Catonella sp. RNAcentral's name for it is "TPP riboswitch (THI element)". It matches the Rfam family "TPP riboswitch aptamer (THI element)", at positions 6 to 97 of the family's 105-position model. Rfam says of the family: Vitamin B(1) in its active form thiamin pyrophosphate (TPP) is an essential coenzyme that is synthesised by coupling of pyrimidine and thiazole moieties in bacteria. The previously detected thiamin-regulatory element, thi box was extended, resulting in a new, highly conserved RNA secondary structure, the THI element, which is widely distributed in eubacteria and also occurs in some archaea. Analysis of operon structures identified a large number of new candidate thiamin-regulated genes, mostly transporters, in various prokaryotic organisms. The record is from RNAcentral. Lineage: Bacteria; Bacillati; Bacillota; Clostridia; Lachnospirales; Lachnospiraceae.
UUUUGCUAGGGGUGCCAUGUAGCUGAGAUGAAAUUUAAUUUCUAUCCCUUAAUACUUGAACCAGAUAAUACUGGCGUAAGGAAGCAACAUU